AGAGUUUGAUCCUGGCUCAGGAUGAACGCUGGCGGCGUGCUUAACACAUGCAAGUCGAACGAUGAAACCGGAGCUUGCUCUGGUGGAUUAGUGGCGAACGGGUGAGUAACACGUGAGUAACCUGCCCUUGACUCUGGGAUAAGCGUUGGAAACGACGUCUAAUACCGGAUACGACGCGCGAAGGCAUCUUCUGCGCGUGGAAAGAAUUUCGGUCAAGGAUGGACUCGCGGCCUAUCAGCUAGUUGGUGAGGUAACGGCCCACCAAGGCGACGACGGGUAGCCGGCCUGAGAGGGUGACCGGCCACACUGGGACUGAGACACGGCCCAGACUCCUACGGGAGGCAGCAGUGGGGAAUAUUGCACAAUGGGCGCAAGCCUGAUGCAGCAACGCCGCGUGAGGGACGACGGCCUUCGGGUUGUAAACCUCUUUUAGUAGGGAAGAAGUGAAAGUGACGGUACCUGCAGAAAAAGCACCGGCUAACUACGUGCCAGCAGCCGCGGUAAUACGUAGGGUGCAAGCGUUAUCCGGAAUUAUUGGGCGUAAAGAGCUCGUAGGCGGUUUGUCGCGUCUGCUGUGAAAACUGGAGGCUCAACCUCCAGCCUGCAGUGGGUACGGGCAGACUAGAGUGCGGUAGGGGAGAUUGGAAUUCCUGGUGUAGCGGUGGAAUGCGCAGAUAUCAGGAGGAACACCGAUGGCGAAGGCAGAUCUCUGGGCCGUAACUGACGCUGAGGAGCGAAAGCGUGGGGAGCGAACAGGAUUAGAUACCCUGGUAG
RNAcentral lists this ribosomal RNA (774 nucleotides) under uncultured bacterium. RNAcentral describes it as "bacterial SSU rRNA". It matches the Rfam family "Bacterial small subunit ribosomal RNA", at positions 8 to 793 of the family's 1533-position model. The record is from RNAcentral.